GAAUAUUCUAAUAUUGUACAGUUAUUAAGUGAAGAUGAUCCAAAUACUUCAGUUCAUAAUAAGGAGUUAUAUGAAGCUGCUAAAAGAGGUGAUUCUACUGGUGUCCAGUCUGCACUGUCUCAAGGGGCUAAUGUAAACUAUCAGAAUCCUGAAAAGUAUGGAACUACUUCUCUUCAUGUUGCUGCAA
This is a long non-coding RNA of Amphimedon queenslandica, 187 nucleotides long. RefSeq lists it as uncharacterized. Lineage: Eukaryota; Metazoa; Porifera; Demospongiae; Haplosclerida; Niphatidae. The record is from RefSeq and is a predicted model, not a curated record. The transcript has 3 exons.